This 1095-nucleotide long non-coding RNA is filed under the name Anser cygnoides (Swan goose). RNAcentral describes it as "lncRNA (ENSACDG00005012198.1)". Lineage: Eukaryota; Metazoa; Chordata; Aves; Anseriformes; Anatidae. The record is from RNAcentral.
GAGGGGGACGGGGGGGGGAGCUCGGGGCACCGCGGGCCGGGCCGGGCCGGGCACCGCCGCACCGGCCCCGGCCCCAGCACCGGCACCGGCCCCGGCAGCGGUACCGGCAGCGGCAGCGCCGCGCACACCCGCUCGCUCACACACACACACACACACACUCACACACUCACACACACUCACACCCGCACGCACGCACUCACACACACGUACACACACACACACACACACGGUCCAGGCUCGUUCAGACUGCUUGUGUUUAUAUAUAUAUGGAUAGAGGCGUGCAUCUAUAUAUAUAUAUAUAUAUGUGAGAGCGAGACCAAGAGGGAGCGGUGGAGGAAGGAUCCGAGCGAGAGCGUUUAGACUGUGCUGGGUAAAACGGGGCGGAGAUGCGGUAAUGCACCAAAACUGCAGAUGUGUCGGGGGGUUGCUUGUGGGAACAGGGGUUGGCCGGGUGGGUUUUCGUUUGGUUUCUUUAGGGUUUUGCUUUUUUACUCCCCCAGUUACCCCUCUCUCGCAGCGAGGAAUGCCACUGAUGUCUGCACCUCUUCUCUCCCCUCCUCCCCCCCCGCACUCUCCCCCCUAUCCCCAAAAGGGCUCUCUUCUCUGAAUCACAGAAACUUUUUUCCCCCCUUUCUCCCUCUCUCUUUUUUUUUUCCCUUUAUUUUUCUUUCCCCUUUAUUUUUCUUUCCCCCUUUUUUUUCUUUCCUUUUUUUUUUUCCUUUUCUUUCCUUUAUUUUUUUUUCUUAAAUGGGAGCAAUCCAAAAGAAAAAAAAGGGAGGCAGAAGCAAAAUAAUCUGAUUAAUCAGAGGGGGCCUGCUGCAUUCCAGCACCCUGUUUUUCUUGGCCAAACCGGAGAAUUUUGGUGCAAGGCAGACAUCCACUCUGAAAACAUAUAUAUCUAUAUAGCUAUAUAUUCUGCAAAAAUGAAAAGGGCCACUUUUUCCAGGAAAAAAAAAAUAUGCACACAGCACUAAAAACAAGCAGACUGCAUAGGGAAGCAAAUACAUAUAUAUAUAUUUAUCUAUAUAUAUAGGUAUAGCUAUAGAACAAAAAUAUGGAAAUAAAUGCCCGCACACCGAAAACUGACCCCGAGGA